UGUGUAGAGGUGGGAAAGAUGC
RNAcentral lists this microRNA (22 nucleotides) under Sarcophilus harrisii (Tasmanian devil). RNAcentral's name for it is "Sha-Mir-7398-o9_5p (mature (co-guide))". Lineage: Eukaryota; Metazoa; Chordata; Mammalia; Dasyuromorphia; Dasyuridae. The record is from RNAcentral.